Salvia miltiorrhiza (redroot sage) is the source of this 669-nucleotide long non-coding RNA. RefSeq lists it as uncharacterized. The record is from RefSeq and is a predicted model, not a curated record. Lineage: Eukaryota; Viridiplantae; Streptophyta; Magnoliopsida; Lamiales; Lamiaceae. The transcript is spliced from 2 exons.
GUAUCCAAGAGUCACAUUCAAUUGCUCUGCGCCUUCUGUUACAACAAUGCCAAGAUUGAUGAGAGUUUGAAUCAUAGAUCCUGGCUCAGAGGGGGCCACCUGCAGAUCAUCAGUUACUAGAAAAUGCAGUCCUUCCACAAGAAUCCCAUCACCACCAGCUUGAGUCCAUGUCUUCACAUCUGAAGUGCUUUUCUGGUCCAUUCAUGAAUGAGUUUCUUGGAUUGAGUAGCAUCUUCUUACCACCAUCUGUCCAGAAAUGGCCGCUUUCAAUAUUCGUUAAGCCCGUGUACAGUGUGUUUAAGCUUCCAACAACGGGUUUCUCAUCCUCGUAUCUCUCAUUCAAGACCCUCACAAUCUCCCCCAACGGCAAUAUCAGAAAACUUAGUAUAACCUCUGCAGAUUUGCUGUCGGCUUCUGCAAAGAGUACCUUCGUUUUCUCUUUAUUCACCAUAACUUUCAGGGACAUCUUUACAUCCUUGGGUAUUGCAGACCUCAUGUUUGGCUCUACAAGCGACGAAAUCUCAGAGACGCUAUCAGCAGGGGAAAUUUUAAGCCACUAAUAUUGUGUAUUGAAUUGAAUGGCUUAGUGAAUGAAUGGUGUAUAUUCAUAACUUAGUAGUAUCAACUAUUUUUUCUCCAUAUUUGUUUCUCACAUAACUAAGACAUAAA